RNAcentral lists this unclassified non-coding RNA (1793 nucleotides) under Hevea brasiliensis (rubber tree). Lineage: Eukaryota; Viridiplantae; Streptophyta; Magnoliopsida; Malpighiales; Euphorbiaceae. The record is from RNAcentral.
ACCACCAGGAUGGUCUUCCAAAAAAUUUGUCACGUCAUAAACCUGUUUCAACAAAUCAAAAAGGCUCAGAAGAAGUAAAACUUUUUUUUUUUUUAUGAACCCUGAAGUAUCAUUAGUUGCAAAACUGAUGGGCCUAUAAAAUUUAUUUCAAAGUUAGCAUUAUUUCUUCAACAUUAAAUAGCUUGUGACGAGAAGUUUGGAUCCAUGGAAAAAGAAGAAAGCUUUCCCAUUGCUUGGCCUGAAAGAUACAUGAUCAUGAAAUAGGGAUUGCAAUGAAUGGAUAGUAAAGUUAUUGGACACCAAACUUAUGUUAUUUGCUGAAAUACAGAAAAUUAAAAGAAAUCACGACAAGAAAAAAACUAGAUAUAACAAUUGAUGGUUUCAUCACAAAACUUUUUGUUCCCAACAAUCAACAAUUAAAAAGAUAUUUGGUAUCUAAAAGUGAGGCCUAAUAUUCUCAUAAAAAAGAAAAAGCCCCUUUGGUUAACUUUAGGAAGCAAAAACCACUGAUUUCCAUAAGAUGAUCUUAUGGAAAUCAAGAGUGAGCAAAAACCAAUUAUUAAUCACUGAUAAAUCUAUAUUAAGGUCGUCACUCUGCUCCUUAAUACCACCCACUCCUUUUUCUCCUCCGUUUCUCCUAUCACUCGAGGCAAUGGCUUUAUUUAAGUCCUUUUAUUCUGCCCUAAUUCUUACUAAUCUCAAUCACAUUAUCUGCCUGAUUUAUGAUCUAUCCUUAGCGUUCUGUCGUCUGCGCAAUACAUAAGAUGAUAAUGGGGGAAAAAAGCUAUAGAAUUUACAACUCUUUGUGCACUGCUCCAACAUUUGCCCACACCCCCACCCCGUUAGUUGGCCUGUAACCUAGAGUGCCUAGGUGUAUAAGAGCAACAAAAAGAAUAGGAGAAAAAAGACUAAGAAUAGAAAUUCACUGACAUGAAUAGAAUUUUUCUUUCCCUUUCCCAUUUUACAACUGUUUAAUCAUACAGCAGGAUACAAUCACGACUAUGGAUCACCACUAUCUAAAGUCCGAUCUUUAGCUGUUGGAACUUGGGUGAGUUCAUUUGUUAGGGGACGCAGGCGUGUAUCAAGUCAAGGGUCUCAAAUUGACAAAGAAAUUACAAAUGAAUUGCCAUCAAUGAAAUUAACAUGGAUUCAGAAUUGAGAAGAACUAACACAGCCAGAAUUAGAUUUUCUGAUAAAAGGAACAUAUAGUGAUGAGUUUUAGCAGCGAAAGGCAACAAAAAUCCUUCAGUAAUCUGAUUCUGAAAAGCUAAAAACAUUUUACAUCAAUGGUAAAGCACUUGAUUUCCCCUCUUUAAUAAUCAAAUGACGUGUCAGAAUAUGCAACUCUCAUACAAUAUGCAGAAUUUCAAAAUCUCUUUUGAACGCGUUUAGUUCCAUUGCAUGCUGCAAUAAUCAAUUGAAAGGAAUAUUAGAGGCUUUAAACGAAAGAGACAUAAGGAAUAUUCAUAGAUCAGAGUAUAAACAACGCAGAAAAGCCAUUAUGAAUAAAGCGGGAUACAGAAUUCGUAAUAGACCCAAUAGGUUGAAGUGGGAAUCCCAAAUAAUCGAACAGGCCAUACAGAAGAAAUAAUUAACAAGCAUCAAGGACAUGCAACAGAGGGCAAACAAGCCAAGAUCAGCAAAUAUAGCGAAAAGCCAAUAGAUGAACAAAAAAAUAUGCCCAGCACAAACGUAUGCAUCAAGUCAAUCACAAGCAAAGCUAUCAUAAUCUCAGAUGGCUAAUAAUAAUGAUAAGUUCACCUUGCUGCCGAUAAUCAACCAACAGUCCUUGG